RNAcentral lists this ribosomal RNA (437 nucleotides) under uncultured bacterium. Its description in RNAcentral is "bacterial SSU rRNA". It matches the Rfam family "Bacterial small subunit ribosomal RNA", at positions 383 to 810 of the family's 1533-position model. The record is from RNAcentral.
GUGAGGAAGGGACGCCGCGUUGGGUAGAAGCCUUUCGGGUUGUAAACCCCUGUCAGGAAGUUAAGAAAUGCAAGGGUGUAAAUAGCAUCCUUGCUUGACUAAGGCUCCAGAGGAAGCCACGGCUAACUCUGUGCCAGCAGCCGCGGUAAUACAGAGGUGGCAAGCGUUGUUCGGAAUUAUUGGGCGUAAAGAGCACGUAGGCGGCUCUGCAAGUCAGCUGUGAAAGCCUUCUGCUUAACGGAAGAACAGCAGUUGAUACUACAGAGCUUGAGUGUGGGAGGGGAGAGUGGAACUUCUGGUGGAGCGGUGAAAUGCGUAGAUAUCAGAAGGAACGCCGGCGGCGAAAGCGACUCUCUGGCCCGUAACUAACGCUGAGUGUGCGAAAGCUAGGGGAGCAAACGGGAUUAGAUACCCCGGUAGUCCUAGCCGUAAACGAU